This 253-nucleotide ribosomal RNA is filed under the name uncultured bacterium. RNAcentral's name for it is "partial 16S ribosomal RNA". It matches the Rfam family "Bacterial small subunit ribosomal RNA", at positions 524 to 776 of the family's 1533-position model. The record is from RNAcentral.
UACGGAGGGGGCUAGCGUUGUUCGGAAUUACUGGGCGUAAAGCGCGCGUAGGCGGCUUUGUAAGUUAGAGGUGAAAGCCCGGAGCUCAACUCCGGAACUGCCUUUAAGACUGCAUCGCUAGAAUUGUGGAGAGGUGAGUGGAAUUCCGAGUGUAGAGGUGAAAUUCGUAGAUAUUCGCAAGAACACCAGUGGCGAAGGCGGCUCACUGGUCCGGUACUGACGCUGAGGUGCGAAAGCGUGGGGAGCAAACAGG